GACGUAGGGGGCCAGCGUUGUUCGGAUUCAUUGGGCGUAAAGGGUGCGUAGGUGGCAUGGUAAGUCGGAUGUGAAAUCCCGGGGCUCAACCCCGGAGCUGCAUUCGAUACUGCUGCGCUAGAGUACUGGAGAGGAGAUUGGAAUUUACGGUGUAGCAGUGAAAUGCGUAGAUAUCGUAAGGAAGACCAGUGGCGAAGGCGGAUCUCUGGACAGUUACUGACACUGAGGCACGAAGGCCAGGGGAGCAAACGGG
Molecule: ribosomal RNA, 253 nt
Filed under: uncultured bacterium
Lineage: Bacteria
Description: partial 16S ribosomal RNA
Rfam family: Bacterial small subunit ribosomal RNA
Source: RNAcentral